Molecule: ribosomal RNA, 681 nt
Filed under: uncultured eukaryote
Lineage: Eukaryota
Description: bacterial SSU rRNA
Rfam family: Eukaryotic small subunit ribosomal RNA
Source: RNAcentral
CUUGAUGGUAGUGUAUUGGACUACCAUGGCUAUCACGGGUAACGGAGAAUUAGGGUUCGAUUCCGGAGAGGGAGCCUGAGAAAUGGCUACCACAUCUAAGGAAGGCAGCAGGCGCGUAAAUUACCCAAUCCUGAUUCAGGGAGGUAGUGACAAGAAAUAACAACCUGGGAGCUUUUAGCUCUACGGGAUUGCAAUGAGAACAAUUUAGAUCACUUAGCGAGGAACAAUUGGAGGGCAAGUCUGGUGCCAGCAGCCGCGGUAAUUCCAGCUCCAAUAGCGUAUAUUAAAGUUGUUGCAGUUAAAAAGCUCGUAGUUGAAUGUCUGAUCAUUGGUUGUCUUGGCUUCGGUCGACCAAUCAGUGGUCAUCCGCAUACGAAACUAGCUCGGCCUUUACUGGUUCGUCUAGGGGAGUGUGCAUUUUACUUUGAAAAAAUUAGAGUGUUUCAGGCAGGCAAUGGCUUGAAUACAUUAGCAUGGAAUAAUGGAAUAGGACAUAAGUCAAUUUUAUUGGUUAUUUGACUUUAGUAAUGAUUAAUAGGGACAGUUGGGGGCAUUAGUAUUUAAUUGUCAGAGGUGAAAUUCUUGGAUUUAUUAAAGACUAACUUAUGCGAAAGCAUUCGCCAAGGAUGUUUUCAUUAAUCAAGAACGAAAGUUAGGGGAUCAAAGACGAUUAGAUACCGU